AGAAGUGGAUGCAGAGGCUGGGCAUAAGGCGGCAUUUCCCAGAGGAAGCAGUGAUUCCAUGCCAGCCUCUGCUGCAGGAAGAGAGGCGAUGCCAGGCACAGGCACAGGAGAUGAGGUGUCUGGGAAGGCUUCUCCAUCAGCUUGGAUGAAUAAAAUUUUGAAGCCCUUGGAGCCUCCUGCAGAUGUGUCUACAGGGAAGACUUCUCCAGCUCCUACCAUGGAUGUUACACUAAAGCCCAGCUCCCGUCACAGUGGUGAGUAGUGUGUCCCUGCUGACCCCACAGGCUGAACCCUGCUUUUCUGGGAUCCAUUCCUGGCAAAUGGAAAUAUUUUUCUCUAAGGUACUCCAACAGGGAAAAUCCAAGAUACAACAGAUAAGAUAUCCCUGGAACCAUCCAAACAGAUGAGGCAAGAGCUGAAGGAACCCCUGCAGAGAA
This is a long non-coding RNA of Passer domesticus (house sparrow), 437 nucleotides long. RefSeq lists it as uncharacterized. Lineage: Eukaryota; Metazoa; Chordata; Aves; Passeriformes; Passeridae. The transcript is spliced from 3 exons. The record is from RefSeq and is a predicted model, not a curated record.